GAAGCUUCUAGCUUGCUAGGUGGAUUAGUGGCGCACGGGUGAGUAACGCAUAGAUGACAUGCCCUUUAGUUUGGGAUAGCCACUAGAAAUGGUGAUUAAUACCAAAUACCACCCUACGGGGGAAAGAUUUAUCGCUAAAGGAUUGGUCUAUGUCCUAUCAGCUUGUUGGUGGGGUAAGAGCCCACCAAGGCUAUGACGGGUAUCCGGCCUGAGAGGGUGAACGGACACACUGGAACUGAGACACGGUCCAGACUCCUACGGGAGGCAGCAGUAGGGAAUAUUGCUCAAUGGGCGCAAGCCUGAAGCAGCAACGCCGCGUGGAGGAUGAAGGUUUUAGGAUUGUAAACUCCUUUUGUGAGAGAAGAUAAUGACGGUAUCU
This 379-nucleotide ribosomal RNA is filed under the name uncultured Helicobacter sp. RNAcentral describes it as "bacterial SSU rRNA". It matches the Rfam family "Bacterial small subunit ribosomal RNA", at positions 68 to 480 of the family's 1533-position model. The record is from RNAcentral. Lineage: Bacteria; Pseudomonadati; Campylobacterota; Epsilonproteobacteria; Campylobacterales; Helicobacteraceae.